This 333-nucleotide ribosomal RNA is filed under the name uncultured eukaryote. RNAcentral describes it as "partial 18S ribosomal RNA". It matches the Rfam family "Eukaryotic small subunit ribosomal RNA", at positions 1470 to 1796 of the family's 1831-position model. The record is from RNAcentral.
CCCUUAGAUGUCCUGGGCCGCACGCGCGUUACACUGAUGCAUUCAACGAGCUUAUAACCUUGGCCGAGAGGCCUGGGCAAUCUUGUUAACGUGCAUCGUGAUAGGGAUAGAUUAUUGAAAUUAUUAAUCUUGAACGAGGAAUUCCUAGUAAACGCAGAUCAUCAAUCUGCGUUGAUUACGUCCCUGCCCUUUGUACACACCGCCCGUCGCUACUACCGAUUGAACGGUUUAGUGAGGGCCUCGGAUUGGUCUCGGCCCGCUCUUUACCGGGCGGCGCCGUUGGUCGAGAAGACGCUCGAACUUGAUCGUUUAGAGGAAGUAAAAGUCGUAACA